CAGAGAGGGGCUGGAGGUUGGAUCAAAUGACAAUGGCCAAUGAUUUUAUCUAUCAGGCCUACGUAAUGAAGCCUCCAUAUAAACCCCAAAGGACUCGGUUUGGAGAGCUUCCAGGCUGGUGCACACGUGAAGAUGUUGGACAAACAUCACAAUGACCAGUACCAAGCUUUAAUCGUACUUAGCAGAGAUUAGAAGGUGGGGAUUUGGCAAGAUCAAAAGCACUGGACAGCUGUUGAAUCAUAAAAGCCAAUUACCCGAUAGAGGGGAGAAAGUCUCUUCAGCUAUUGGUGCCUUGUGAUUUACGUGGACCUCUAUUAAUGCUAAUGGAAG
This is a long non-coding RNA of Zalophus californianus (California sea lion), 330 nucleotides long. RefSeq lists it as uncharacterized. The record is from RefSeq and is a predicted model, not a curated record. NCBI's taxonomy places the organism in Eukaryota, Metazoa, Chordata, Mammalia, Carnivora, Otariidae. The transcript is spliced from 3 exons.